UAAAUUCUAUGUUUGCAUUCC
RNAcentral lists this non-coding RNA (21 nucleotides) under Caenorhabditis elegans. The record is from RNAcentral. Lineage: Eukaryota; Metazoa; Nematoda; Chromadorea; Rhabditida; Rhabditidae.